UGGCGGACGGGUGAGUAACGCGUGAGAAUCUCCCUUCAGGAUGGGGACAACCGUUGGAAACGACGGCUAAUCCCCAAUGUGCCGAGAGGUGAAAGGGUUUCCGCCUGAAGAAGAGCUCGCGUCCGAUUAGUUAGUUGGUGAGGUAAGAGCUCACCAAGGCAGCGAUCGGUAGCUGGUCUGAGAGGAUGAGCAGCCACACUGGGACUGAGACACGGCCCAGACUCCUACGGGAGGCAGCAGUGGGGAAUUUUCCGCAAUGGGCGAAAGCCUGACGGAGCAACGCCGCGUGUGGGAAGAAGGCUCUUGGGCUGUCAACCACUUUUCUCAGGGAAGAAGACCUGACGGUACCUGAGGAAUCAGCCUCGGCUAACUCCGUGCCAGCAGCCGCGGUAAUACGGAGGAGGCAAGCGUUAUCCGGAAUUAUUGGGCGUAAAGCGUCCGCAGGGGGCGCAUCAAGUCUGCUGUUAAAGGCUGGAGCUUAACUCCGGUAGAGCAGUGGAAACUGGUGCGCUAGAGGGCGACAGGGGUAGAGGGAAUUCCCAGUGUAGCGGUGAAAUGCGUAGAGAUUGGGAAGAACACCGGUGGCGAAAGCGCUCUACUGGGUCGCACCUGACCCUCAGGGACGAAAGCUAAGGUAGCGAAAGGGAUUAGAUACCCCUGUAGUCUUAGCCGUAAACGAUGGAUACUAGGGCGUGGCUUGUAUCGACCCA
This 710-nucleotide ribosomal RNA is filed under the name uncultured bacterium. RNAcentral describes it as "bacterial SSU rRNA". It matches the Rfam family "Bacterial small subunit ribosomal RNA", at positions 96 to 842 of the family's 1533-position model. The record is from RNAcentral.